CCUACGGGUGGCUGCAGUCGAGAAUCUUCGGCAAUGGGCGCAAGCCUGACCGAGCGACGCCGCGUGGAGGAUGAAGGCCUUCGGGUUGUAAACUCCUGUCGAGGGGGAGGCCUAUCCCUGGAGGAAGCACGGGCUAAGUUCGUGCCAGCAGCCGCGGUAAGACGAACCGUGCGAACGUUAUUCGGAAUCAUUGGGCUUAAAGCGCGUGUAGGCGGAUGGGAACGUCGGCGCUGAAAUACCCCGGCUCAACCGGGGAACUGGCAUCGAAACGACCCGUCUCGAGGGGCAUAGGGGGAGCUGGAACUUCCGGUGGAGCGGUGAAAUGCGUUGAGAUCGGAAGGAACGCCCGUGGCGAAAGCGAGCUCCUGGAUUCUCUGACGCUGAGACGCGAAAGCUAGGGUAGCGAACGGGAUUAGAUACCCUUGUAGUC
RNAcentral lists this ribosomal RNA (430 nucleotides) under uncultured bacterium. Its description in RNAcentral is "partial 16S ribosomal RNA". It matches the Rfam family "Bacterial small subunit ribosomal RNA", at positions 338 to 795 of the family's 1533-position model. The record is from RNAcentral.